RNAcentral lists this ribosomal RNA (750 nucleotides) under Vreelandella aquamarina. Its description in RNAcentral is "bacterial SSU rRNA". It matches the Rfam family "Bacterial small subunit ribosomal RNA", at positions 34 to 786 of the family's 1533-position model. The record is from RNAcentral. Lineage: Bacteria; Pseudomonadati; Pseudomonadota; Gammaproteobacteria; Oceanospirillales; Halomonadaceae.
GGAUGGCGGCAGCUACCAUGCAGUCGAGCGGUAACAGAUCCAGCUUGCUGGAUGCUGACGAGCGGCGGACGGGUGAGUAAUGCAUAGGAAUCUGCCCGAUAGUGGGGGAUAACCUGGGGAAACCCAGGCUAAUACCGCAUACGUCCUACGGGAGAAAGGGGGCUUCGGCUCCCGCUAUCGGAUGAGCCUAUGUCGGAUUAGCUAGUUGGUGAGGUAACGGCUCACCAAGGCCACGAUCCGUAGCUGGUCUGAGAGGAUGAUCAGCCACAUCGGGACUGAGACACGGCCCGAACUCCUACGGGAGGCAGCAGUGGGGAAUAUUGGACAAUGGGGGGAACCCUGAUCCAGCCAUGCCGCGUGUGUGAAGAAGGCCCUCGGGUUGUAAAGCACUUUCAGCGAGGAAGAACGCCUAGCGGUUAAUACCCGCUAGGAAAGACAUCACUCGCAGAAGAAGCACCGGCUAACUCCGUGCCAGCAGCCGCGGUAAUACGGAGGGUGCAAGCGUUAAUCGGAAUUACUGGGCGUAAAGCGCGCGUAGGUGGCUUGAUAAGCCGGUUGUGAAAGCCCCGGGCUCAACCUGGGAACGGCAUCCGGAACUGUCAAGCUAGAGUGCAGGAGAGGAAGGUAGAAUUCCCGGUGUAGCGGUGAAAUGCGUAGAGAUCGGGAGGAAUACCAGUGGCGAAGGCGGCCUUCUGGACUGACACUGACACUGAGGUGCGAAAGCGUGGGUAGCAAACAGGAUUAGUCCCC